GCCAGAUUGGGAAUUUAGCCCAUCCAGGGACUGACCAGGACCAACCCUGCUUAGCUUCAGAAGCAAGCCAGCAGUGGUAUGCAGAGUGGUAUGCUGUUCUGGCUGCAAGUCAUCUGGUGACUGAGGUGGUGUGUUGCCUGAUAGUCUUAAGCUAUAACUCUCUUAGGAACCAUAAGGAGAGAGUGGAGAAACAAAAAAGCGCUCCAGCUGACAUGGAACAAGACAGCAGAUUCAGCUAGAAUGACAUUUUAUUGUGUGAUGAGAGAUGGAAAUAAAAUUGUGUAUGAUGUGAUUAUAGAACAGAGGCCAUAAGUCUCUGAGUUUGUAAACCUCACGGUGAAUGUUUGUUAUCAUUGUUAGUUCCAUUUGUUAGUUUUUAAAUUCAUGUUUUAUGAUCGUUCGUCC
Molecule: long non-coding RNA, 405 nt
Organism: Oncorhynchus tshawytscha (Chinook salmon)
Lineage: Eukaryota; Metazoa; Chordata; Actinopteri; Salmoniformes; Salmonidae
Source: Ensembl